UGCACACAUGACUGUAAGUUUCUUUUGAUAAAAGCAUCUGCUAAAUGGAAUAUA
Non-coding RNA from Salmo salar (Atlantic salmon), 54 nucleotides. Lineage: Eukaryota; Metazoa; Chordata; Actinopteri; Salmoniformes; Salmonidae. The record is from Rfam.